RNAcentral lists this ribosomal RNA (431 nucleotides) under uncultured bacterium. Its description in RNAcentral is "partial 16S ribosomal RNA". It matches the Rfam family "Bacterial small subunit ribosomal RNA", at positions 29 to 505 of the family's 1533-position model. The record is from RNAcentral.
AACGAACGCUGGCGGCAUGCCUAGCACAUGCAAGUCGAACGAGACCUUCGGGUCUAGUGGCGCACGGGUGCGUAACGCGUGGGAACCUGCCCUUAGGUUCGGAAUAACUCCCCGAAAGGGGUGCUAAUACCGGAUAAUGUCUUCGGACCAAAGAUUUAUCGCCUUUGGAUGGGCCCGCGUUGGAUUAGCUAGUUGGUAGGGUAAAAGCCUACCAAGGCGACGAUCCAUAGCUGGUCUGAGAGGAUGAUCAGCCACACUGGGACUGAGACACGGCCCAGACUCCUACGGGAGGCAGCAGUGGGGAAUAUUGGACAAUGGGCGAAAGCCUGAUCCAGCAAUGCCGCGUGAGUGAUGAAGGCCUUAGGGUUGUAAAGCUCUUUUACCCGGGAUGAUAAUGACAGUACCGGGAGAAUAAGCUCCGGCUAACUCCG